This 236-nucleotide unclassified non-coding RNA is filed under the name Hevea brasiliensis (rubber tree). The record is from RNAcentral. Lineage: Eukaryota; Viridiplantae; Streptophyta; Magnoliopsida; Malpighiales; Euphorbiaceae.
ACCUAUGCCAAUUCUGACCUUGAGAACGCAUCCGAAACGUCUGAAAACGGUGAGAUAGCCUAUAAUUUUAAUCUAAUUCUAAAACUUUUUGGAUAGCCUGUCUGUUCGGCCUGAAAUUGCAAACCCAAGCAACUAUUGAAUUUCCGCAGAUUGAAGGUACUUAUGAGAAGUCCACAAUAUGGGGGUUAGUACAUAAUUUUUGCAGAAUUUAUUAAGCUCAUUUAGUGCUCGAAAAA